GGAAGAGUGCCUGAAAGAUAAGGAUUUCCUUGAUAGGGAAACAAAUAGGGGUUCAAACCCCCUCACUUCCC
This 71-nucleotide transfer RNA is filed under the name Sooglossus thomasseti (Thomasset's Seychelles frog). Its description in RNAcentral is "tRNA-Ile". It matches the Rfam family "tRNA". From Rfam's summary of the family: Transfer RNA (tRNA) molecules are approximately 80 nucleotides in length. Their secondary structure includes four short double-helical elements and three loops (D, anti-codon, and T loops). Lineage: Eukaryota; Metazoa; Chordata; Amphibia; Anura; Sooglossidae. The record is from RNAcentral.